Long non-coding RNA from Piliocolobus tephrosceles (Ugandan red Colobus), 1063 nucleotides. RefSeq lists it as uncharacterized. NCBI's taxonomy places the organism in Eukaryota, Metazoa, Chordata, Mammalia, Primates, Cercopithecidae. The transcript has 3 exons. The record is from RefSeq and is a predicted model, not a curated record.
CAGUGAUUGAUUCCCUUUGUUGCUUGAGGGCCAUAGUUUUGUAUAUUUUGUCCAGUAUUUUUGUUGCUUUAGGUCAGAAAGUAAUUUUGGUUUCUGUUACUCCAUCUUGGCCAGAAGUGUAAGUCACUUACCUAAGCAUUUAUAUAUCAAAAUGCUGCAUAUAUAAUUUUAGUUUAAGCUACUUUUAAAAAAUCUCCUUCAUUUUCCAUUUGGCAUUCUAUUUAGGGUAUUACAUUGAUUUUUUGGAAAUUCUGUUAUUGGCAGUUUCUAUUGCCUAUCACUUCCAUUUAAAGAUAGUGCAUAGGAUAUUCUAAAAUAGCUAUUCAACAAAGAGAAAAUUGGGCCUGAUAGGGUGAGAAUCACAGCUCGAAUACCUCAAGUGACCUUAUGAUGUAUUGUCUAAAGGAGACACUUUUGACAGUGAAAGAGGGUGUUGUUAGUAAAUAUAUCAGGACCAUGGCCUAAACCAGGACUAUCCCAGGCAUCCUGGGACAUAUUUGUACCUCAUUUCUAUUUUAUGCCUUUAUACAAUUCUCUGCUUAAUUCUACAAGCCUUUAUUGAGCCUACUUCUUUGUCCAGCUGAGUGCCACAUGCUGACAUCACUAAGAUCAAUAUGGCAAACUCUGAAAGAUGGACAGAGAGAGAGGAGAUGGUCUUUUAUAAUGCAGUGUGAUCUGUGCUCCAAUAGAGAUGGAAGAGUGUUCUGAUUGACUGGAAAACAACGCACAUGGAAAGCUGUACAGAAAUCAGAGGGGAAAGUUUUGGAGGUUAGAAAUUCAAAACAAGGUGUUGGCAGCACCACACUCUCUCUGAAGAUGCUAGGAAGGAUCUAUUCCAUGCCUUUCCAUUCGCUUCUGGAGUUUCCUGCAAGCCCUGACAUUCCUUGGCUCAUAGAUGCAUCAGCCCAGUUUCCGCCCCCAUCAUCACAUGGCCUCCUCUCUGUGUGCACGUCUGCAUUCCCUCUCCUCUUCUUCUGAGGACACUCGUCAUAGUAGAUUAAGGGACCUCCUAACUAAUUACAUCAGCAACAACCCUGUUUCCAAAUAAAGUCACAUUCUAAGA